ACAACAUUUCUUUCCAUUUCAUGAUAAUAACAGCCUUUGCAGGAUUUGUAGCCGUCAUUGUCCUUGCUGGAAUAAUCAUGAGGAAAUGUCAUCUCAGCAGGAGAACACAGCAGAAAGCAGGGAACACCUUUAAAGAGGAGGAGCAACAGGACAUUGAGCCC
Molecule: long non-coding RNA, 161 nt
Organism: Coregonus clupeaformis (lake whitefish)
Lineage: Eukaryota; Metazoa; Chordata; Actinopteri; Salmoniformes; Salmonidae
Exons: 3
Source: RefSeq, a predicted model, not a curated record